UCCUGACAACAGUUCCUGGGAAAAUGGCAUGGAAGACCAUAGAAUCCACAGUUUUGGGCUGCACCCAUCCAGUGAGGAAUCGGUCCCAGCUGUUCUAACUAGGACACUGUGUCCCUCAUCGCUGCCAUCAUCAUCAUCAUCGACCUCGUGGGAGUCGGUGUCUGGAAGCUCCGAUCCGGGAAGAGGGAGGGGAAUGGAUACGACCCCGCGCCCACCAGAAUCACAGCCUGAGUGAUCCUGGAGCUGGAUCCGCCCC
Long non-coding RNA from Pipra filicauda (Wire-tailed manakin), 256 nucleotides. RefSeq lists it as uncharacterized. The record is from RefSeq and is a predicted model, not a curated record. The transcript has 3 exons. Lineage: Eukaryota; Metazoa; Chordata; Aves; Passeriformes; Pipridae.